RNAcentral lists this ribosomal RNA (1042 nucleotides) under Staphylococcus succinus subsp. succinus. Its description in RNAcentral is "bacterial SSU rRNA". It matches the Rfam family "Bacterial small subunit ribosomal RNA", at positions 56 to 1078 of the family's 1533-position model. Lineage: Bacteria; Bacillati; Bacillota; Bacilli; Caryophanales; Staphylococcaceae. The record is from RNAcentral.
UGCAGUCGAGCGAACAGAUAAGGAGCUUGCUCCUUUGAAGUUAGCGGCGGACGGGUGAGUAACACGUGGGUAACCUACCUAUAAGACUGGAAUAACUUCGGGAAACCGGAGCUAAUGCCGGAUAACAUAUAGAACCGCAUGGUUCUAUAGUGAAAGAUGGUUUUGCUAUCACUUAUAGAUGGACCCGCGCCGUAUUAGCUAGUUGGUAAGGUAAUGGCUUACCAAGGCGACGAUACGUAGCCGACCUGAGAGGGUGAUCGGCCACACUGGAACUGAGACACGGUCCAGACUCCUACGGGAGGCAGCAGUAGGGAAUCUUCCGCAAUGGGCGAAAGCCUGACGGAGCAACGCCGCGUGAGUGAUGAAGGUUUUCGGAUCGUAAAACUCUGUUAUUAGGGAAGAACAAAUGCGUAAGUAACUGUGCGCAUCUUGACGGUACCUAAUCAGAAAGCCACGGCUAACUACGUGCCAGCAGCCGCGGUAAUACGUAGGUGGCAAGCGUUAUCCGGAAUUAUUGGGCGUAAAGCGCGCGUAGGCGGUUUCUUAAGUCUGAUGUGAAAGCCCACGGCUCAACCGUGGAGGGUCAUUGGAAACUGGGAAACUUGAGUGCAGAAGAGGAAAGUGGAAUUCCAUGUGUAGCGGUGAAAUGCGCAGAGAUAUGGAGGAACACCAGUGGCGAAGGCGACUUUCUGGUCUGUAACUGACGCUGAUGUGCGAAAGCGUGGGGAUCAAACAGGAUUAGAUACCCUGGUAGUCCACGCCGUAAACGAUGAGUGCUAAGUGUUAGGGGGUUUCCGCCCCUUAGUGCUGCAGCUAACGCAUUAAGCACUCCGCCUGGGGAGUACGACCGCAAGGUUGAAACUCAAAGGAAUUGACGGGGACCCGCACAAGCGGUGGAGCAUGUGGUUUAAUUCGAAGCAACGCGAAGAACCCUUACCAAAUCUUGACAUCCUUUGAAAACUCUAGAGAUAGAGCCUUUCCCCUUUCGGGGGACAAAGUGACAGUGUGCAUGAUGUCGUCAGCUCGUGUCGUGAGAUGUUGG